CCAACCAACUGCAUUAGGGACUGAAUAAAGGAUGCCCUCUGUAGCUGGGAAUGUUAGAUCAGGCGGAUCAACAUUCCAUCCAUCUGCAUUAGGAUCUACCUUAGAGACACUCACUGGAGCUGUAAAUGGGAAGCAGGCCACUUACUUUGCAUUCGUCCUUGGUGGUCACCCCAGGGUCUCUAGAGUGAAAAUUACUCAAUCUAUGGAUUAAACAGAAAAUUUAGUUGUAUGAAGUGGCUCCGUCCUAGAAGGCUGCAUGUCUCGGCUGCCACGUCAUCAAGCAUCGUCGAAGGACAUCUCAAUCUGCUUGUUUUCUAUUUUGUUGUUUUAAUUUAAUUACAAAAUGUUUAACUGUCCAUGUUGUAAAGACAGUUGAUACAUGACUUUUAUUCACUGUACUACAUUAUUGGAUUUUUUUGGUGAUGCAUUGCUAAUUUUCAACUUCUCUCUUUAAAGUUUUCAUGCCAUGAUCACUGGGGCAGAAAACAUUAUUACGUUGCCUUGGACAUCAAACUAAACCAUCUCAUUUUGGCUUUUUUCUAACAUCGAAAUCUCAGAAGGCCAGGACUAAGAUGGACGCAGCCUCCACAUGCAACCUUGCAUUUGAGGAACACCCAUAGAACGGAGAAAGUCAUGGGUUCUGCUGCUGAGGUUGUCAUAAAGCAUGCUUUUUCCAUUUGUUGCAUUGGGCAAUAUUAUCAAAAGAUUCUGAAAGAAAUAAGAUAAUUUUCAAAGCAUUAACAUGAAUAUGAAAGCAUUAAGUCAUUAAUGACCAUCUUUUAUUAUUGUUUAUUUAUAGUGUCUUUUAUUCUGCUUACCUGACUCAUGCAGAAUUCUGGCUUGAUGUUUGGUCCACCUGUUAGCUGGCUCUGGUGCUUGGUAGUCUUCUCAAACCUCUGAAUCAAGGCCACCAUGAGAGGCCUUCUGAAGACCAUCAUUACGCUUCAGAUCCAGUUGUCUUAACUAUGAGCCUACCACAAUCCCUGUGCACCAGCUAUGGAAAGUGCAGACCAAACUUCUACCUCCACCUAUAGAACUGAACUGGAGUCUGUGAACUAAUGCUGUGUUCGAGACAACUGGAACAGCAAACAAAAUCCUUUCUCUUUUUAAUGCAGCACUUAAGGAUGAACCACCCUGAUCUACUAAGAUGCACAGAUUCAACUCUGGCCCAGCAUCAUCCCCACACCUCAUCUGCCAUCAGUUUAAUUUAAUGUCUGUCAAUUGCAAAUGCUAUUUAUUUCAGUUAUAUUACAACUUAAUGUUAACUUUAAUUGAGACUAGUAUUGUGUAAAGCUGGGGUUUCCAAACUUUUCAUAUCAAAACCUAUUAAACAAGUGU
This is a non-coding RNA of Paramisgurnus dabryanus, 1338 nucleotides long. The record is from RefSeq and is a predicted model, not a curated record. NCBI's taxonomy places the organism in Eukaryota, Metazoa, Chordata, Actinopteri, Cypriniformes, Cobitidae.